CCUACGGGAGGCUGCAGUGGGGAAUAUUGGACAAUGGGGGGAACCCUGAUCCAGCCAUGCCGCGUGUGUGAAGAAGGCCCUCGGGUCGUAAAGCACUUUCAGUGAGGAAGAACGCCUGGUGGUUAAUACCCAUCUGGAAAGACAUCACUCACAGAAGAAGCACCGGCUAACUCCGUGCCAGCAGCCGCGGUAAUACGGAGGGUGCGAGCGUUAAUCGGAAUUACUGGGCGUAAAGCGCGCGUAGGUGGCUUGAUAAGCCGGUUGUGAAAGCCCCGGGCUCAACCUGGGAACGGCAUCCGGAACUGUCAAGCUAGAGUGCAGGAGAGGAAGGUAGAAUUCCCGGUGUAGCGGUGAAAUGCGUAGAGAUCGGGAGGAAUACCAGUGGCGAAGGCGGCCUUCUGGACUGACACUGACACUGAGGUGCGAAAGCGUGGGUAGCAAACAGGAUUAGAUACCCGAGUAGUC
This 465-nucleotide ribosomal RNA is filed under the name Vreelandella stevensii. RNAcentral describes it as "partial 16S ribosomal RNA". It matches the Rfam family "Bacterial small subunit ribosomal RNA", at positions 338 to 795 of the family's 1533-position model. Lineage: Bacteria; Pseudomonadati; Pseudomonadota; Gammaproteobacteria; Oceanospirillales; Halomonadaceae. The record is from RNAcentral.